Molecule: ribosomal RNA, 440 nt
Filed under: uncultured bacterium
Lineage: Bacteria
Description: partial 16S ribosomal RNA
Rfam family: Bacterial small subunit ribosomal RNA
Source: RNAcentral
CCUACGGGAUGCAGCAGUGGGGAAUAUUGCACAAUGGGGGAAACCCUGAUGCAGCGACGCCGCGUGAGUGAAGAAGUAAUUCGUUAUGUAAAGCUCUAUCAGCAGGGAAGAAAAUGACGGUACCUGAGUAAGAAGCCCCGGCUAACUACGUGCCAGCAGCCGCGGUAAUACGUAGGAGGCAAGCGUUAUCCGGAUUUACUGGGUGUAAAGGGAGCGUAGACGGGUGUGCAAGUCAGGAGUGAAGGGCGGGGGCUCAACCCGCGGACUGCUAUGGAAACUGUGCGGCUGGAGUGCAGGAGAGGUAAGUGGAAUUCGUAGUGUAGCGGUGAAAUGCGUAGAUAUUAGGAAGAACACCGAUGGCGAAGGCAGCUUACUAGACUGUAACUGACGUUGAGGCUCGAAAGCGUGGGGAGCAAACAGGAUUAGAUACCCGGGUAGUC